AUGUUUUCAGUAAUGAAAAAUACUGCUUACUCUCCCUUUCUUCCAAUCCCAAAAUCCUUAGAGCUCAAAGGCAAAAGACACUUUUUUGUCUCUGUGGACCACAUGGAUGAAGAAUGCAUAACAGUCAGCAUCAAAGGACAAAUCACAGGAACAGGAAAGUAAUUAACAGCUGAAACCAAGGGCUAGGGAAAUCUGAAUGGAGGAAUUAAGAAUGAUAGAUUUGAAAAGCAUAUAGUGAGCUUGAGUCUUCACCAUUCUGUUUUCUGUCAGGUGACUUAUUUUUUAAUACAGUAUUUUCCUUCUUCACUUCCCUUUUUCUGUUCUGAUUUUCUCUUUCUCUUGAGAAAUUCAGAUGGGAAAAUAUAGCUUAUGUACUUUUCAUUGCUCAGAUGUCUGUCUACCUAGAAGAGCUGUCAAUCUAGUAGCACAAGGUCACUAUCAGAUCUCUUCCAAAAGGUAUGAAACAAAUGUGGCCUAGUUCAACUGUGAUAUAGGGGCUUGGCUUAGAAUUACUGCUUCAAAUACUAUAGCCUGUGUAAUUCAAGAGCUCAGAGAAAUGGGGUCUUUUGCCCCAAAAGAAAUCUUACUAUUGUCUUCUUAAUUAUCUCAUCAAGACUGUCGGUCCUAUUAAGUCUCCCAGUAAACCUCCUUUCUUCAGCUAAAUUCUGAGCCAAUUUACUCCUGUACAAAAAAAAACCCAAAACCAGAAAAGCAUUUUUUGCAUAACUUUUUAUACAAACACAGUACAUGCGUUUUAGCUAUAGAACUGCAUCUGGAAGAAAAACAUUAUGAACUGAAGGCAGGAGCUAGCUCUUCUAUGCACGUGAUAGAGUGGAAAUAAAAUUUCAGAACACAAACGGUACAAGGUCGGAAGAGCUUAGGUUAAGUUUAUGGGACAGGUGGGAUUGUAGGGUAUGGUAGGACUGUAAUUUGUCUCUGCACUUUUGUACAAUCCUAAUAGCAGUUUCAUUAUUCUACAACACUACCCUACAGUCAUAUAUUUGCAGCAGUAGUAUUGCACCAUUGUCGUCUGAAAAUGAUGAAAAACACCUAACAUGACAGAUAUGCCUUAAAUAAUCUCCUAUCUUUUCCACGGAGAAAAACGUAAGUGCGAGUGCUAAAAUAUGAGCCAAAACGCAGCUUCCUGCCCUACACUAGUCAUCACUUCCAGCUUCUUCUUCACAAUCUCCCUAACAAUUCAAAUACAAAGUUAUCCUGCUGUAGCUGAUUGAGACGGAUUUUCGGUCCCCUGGCAGUGCCAAUUCACUGGCAUCUGGCCUGCAAAAGCCAAAAUCACCCGCCUCCUCUUUCCUGUACGCCCAUGCGCAGAAUACAAACUUGCCUUUCAGGUGCGGCCUCUGCCAGAGAGCAGCUUUUGCAGCCAGUACCCGGCCUUUAAAAACUGCCCUUCCUUGCGCUGAGGGUGACUGUAAUAAUACUUAAAUUAAGCUGCUGCGGUGUAAAAGGGAUGGUGAUUAGGGGAGGUUUAGGCUUGACAUGAGGAAGCAUUUCUUUACCAGGCGGGUGGUCACACGUAUGUCCGUCCACAUACAGUAAACGGCAUCGGCGCCUAGGCCGGCUGAAGAGAACAGCUGUGGUUUGGGGACCAAACCAGCCCCUUUGCCGUGGAUCCAUGAACCCGUUUUCCUCUUGGGAUGCCGCCCAGUCGCUUCAGAAGGGCCCGGGAAGCCAAGUAACCUGUUCCAACCCCGCCUGUGGUCAGACCCCACCCGCCUUCCCGCCACCCCCCGCUCCAGCACCCAACUCCGCUUUCC
Molecule: long non-coding RNA, 1775 nt
Organism: Accipiter nisus (Eurasian sparrowhawk)
Lineage: Eukaryota; Metazoa; Chordata; Aves; Accipitriformes; Accipitridae
Source: Ensembl